UCACUGGUAGUCUAGUGGUUAGGAUUUAGUGCUUUCACCUUUAUGGCCAGGUUCAAUCCCUGGUCUGGGAA
RNAcentral lists this transfer RNA (71 nucleotides) under Sus scrofa (pig). It matches the Rfam family "tRNA". From Rfam's summary of the family: Transfer RNA (tRNA) molecules are approximately 80 nucleotides in length. Their secondary structure includes four short double-helical elements and three loops (D, anti-codon, and T loops). Lineage: Eukaryota; Metazoa; Chordata; Mammalia; Artiodactyla; Suidae. The record is from Rfam by way of RNAcentral.